AUUGAACGCUGGCGGCAGGCCUAACACAUGCAAGUCGAGCGGAUGAAGGGAGCUUGCUCCUGGAUUCAGCGGCGGACGGGUGAGUAAUGCCCAGGAAUCUGCCUGGUAGUGGGGGAUAACGUCUGGAAACGGGCGCUAAUACUGCAUAAUACGUGAGGGAGAAAGUGGGGGAUCUUCGGACAUCUCGCUAUCAGAUGAGCCUAGGUCGGAGUAGUUAGUUGGUGGGGGAAGGGCCGACCAAGCCGAGGAUCCGUAACUGGUCUGAGAGGAGGAUCAGUCACACUGGAACUUGGACACGGUCCAGACUCCUACGGGAGGCAGCAGUGGGGAAUAUUGGACAGUGGGCGAAAGCCUGAUCCAGCCAUGCCGCGUGUGUGAAGAAGGUCUUCGGAUUGUAAAGCACUUUAAGUUGGGAGAAAGGGCAGUAAGUUAAUACCUUGCUGUUUUGACGUUACCAACAGAAUAAGCACCGGCUAACUUCGUG
Molecule: ribosomal RNA, 484 nt
Filed under: uncultured bacterium
Lineage: Bacteria
Description: partial 16S ribosomal RNA
Rfam family: Bacterial small subunit ribosomal RNA
Source: RNAcentral